RNAcentral lists this ribosomal RNA (450 nucleotides) under uncultured bacterium. RNAcentral describes it as "partial 16S ribosomal RNA". It matches the Rfam family "Bacterial small subunit ribosomal RNA", at positions 354 to 796 of the family's 1533-position model. The record is from RNAcentral.
GUGGGGAAUAUUGGACAAUGGGCGAAAGCCUGAUCCAGCCAUGCCGCGUGUGUGAAGAAGGUCUUCGGAUUGUAAAGCACUUUAAGUUGGGAGGAAGGGUAGUAACCUAAUACGUUGCUACUUUGACGUUACCGACAGAAUAAGCACCGGCUAACUUCGUGCCAGCAGCCGCGGUAAUACGAAGGGUGCAAGCGUUAAUCGGAAUUACUUGGCGUAAAGCGCGCGUAGGUGGUUCAGUAAGUUGGAAGUGAAAUCCCCGGGCUCAACCUGGGAACUGCUUUCAAAACUGCUGAGCUAGAGUACGGUAGAGGGUGGUGGAAUUUCCUGUGUAGCGGUGAAAUGCGUAGAGAUAGGAAGGAACACCAGUGGCGAAGGCGACCACCUGGACUGAUACUGACACUGAGGUGCGAAAGCGAGGGGAGCAAAAGGGAUUAGAUACCCGGGUAGUCC